UAUUAUUAGAACAGUUUCUGUACUAUAUUGUG
Molecule: unclassified non-coding RNA, 32 nt
Filed under: Trypanosoma brucei rhodesiense
Lineage: Eukaryota; Euglenozoa; Kinetoplastea; Trypanosomatida; Trypanosomatidae
Description: coxVI
Source: RNAcentral